UGCAGUCGAGCGGACGGAUGGGAGCUUGCUCCCAGAAGUCAGCGGCGGACGGGUGAGUAACACGUGGGCAACCUGCCUGUAAGACUGGGAUAACUCCGGGAAACCGGGGCUAAUACCGGAUAAUUCUUUCCCUCACAUGAGGGAAAGCUGAAAGAUGGUUUCGGCUAUCACUUACAGAUGGGCCCGCGGCGCAUUAGCUAGUUGGUGAGGUAACGGCUCACCAAGGCAACGAUGCGUAGCCUACCUGAGAGGGUGAUCGGCCACACUGGGACUGAGACACGGCCCAGACUCCUACGGGAGGCAGCAGUAGGGAAUCUUCCGCAAUGGACGAAAGUCUGACGGAGCAACGCCCCGUGAGUGAUGAAGGUUUUCGGAUCGUAAAACUCUGUUGUUAGGGAAGAACAAGUACCGGAGUAACUGCCGGUACCUUGACGGUACCUAACCAGAAAGCCACGGCUAACUACGUGCCAGCAGCCGCGGUAAUACGUAGGUGGCAAGCGUUGUCCGGAAUUAUUGGGCGUAAAGCGCGCGCAGGCGGUUCUUUAAGUCUGAUGUGAAAGCCCCCGGCUCAACCGGGGAGGGUCAUUGGAAACUGGGGAACUUGAGUGCAAAAGAGAAGAGUGGAAUUCCACGUGUAGCGGUGAAAUGCGUAGAGAUGUGGAGGAACACCAGUGGCGAAGGCCACUCUUUGGUCUGUAACUGACGCU
This 707-nucleotide ribosomal RNA is filed under the name Cytobacillus firmus. RNAcentral's name for it is "bacterial SSU rRNA". It matches the Rfam family "Bacterial small subunit ribosomal RNA", at positions 56 to 747 of the family's 1533-position model. The record is from RNAcentral. Lineage: Bacteria; Bacillati; Bacillota; Bacilli; Caryophanales; Bacillaceae.